RNAcentral lists this ribosomal RNA (465 nucleotides) under uncultured bacterium. RNAcentral describes it as "partial 16S ribosomal RNA". It matches the Rfam family "Bacterial small subunit ribosomal RNA", at positions 28 to 507 of the family's 1533-position model. The record is from RNAcentral.
GACGAACGCUGGCGGCGUGCUUAACACAUGCAAGUCGAACGGAAAGGCCCCUUUGGGGGUACUCGAGUGGCGAACGGGUGAGUAACACGUGAGUAACCUGCCCUUGACUUCGGGAUAACUUCAGGAAACUGGGGCUAAUACCGGAUAGGAAUCCUUGCUGCAUGGUGGGGGUUGGAAAGCUUCGGCGGUUUUGGAUGGACUCGCGGCUUAUCAGCUUGUUGGUGGGGUAGUGGCUUACCAAGGCUUUGACGGGUAGCCGGCCUGAGAGGGCGACCGGCCACAGUGGGACUGAGAUACGGCCCAGACUCCGACGGGAGGCAGCAGUGGGGAAUAUUGCACAAUGGGCGGAAGCCUGAUGCAGCAACGCCGCGGGCGGGAUGACGGCCUUCGGGUUGUAAACCGCGUUCAGCAGGGGCGAAGCUUGUGGUGACGGUACCUGCAGAAGAAGCACCGGCUAACUACGUG